GUGGAUCCAGUUGACAGAAGCACAAACAAAGCUCCCAGGAGGUCCUGAGAUAGAGUAACGAUGAGAAAACUGAAACUUGAUACGCAACAUUCUCAGGUGUAUGCGCCUUGCAGCGACCAUGAAUGACAGAAUCAAAAUUGUAGCCGACAGCGAUUGACUCACUGCUGCUGAGACGGACAGGCAUGCGUAGCCAACAAGAUACUCGGUAUUUAUCUCUAACCUCGUUGGAUAAGCCAGCUUCAGACCACUCAGAGAGCCA
Molecule: long non-coding RNA, 259 nt
Organism: Acanthaster planci (crown-of-thorns starfish)
Lineage: Eukaryota; Metazoa; Echinodermata; Asteroidea; Valvatida; Acanthasteridae
Source: RefSeq, a predicted model, not a curated record